GAGUGAUGGGGAAAGCCCAGCGCUAAAUCCUCUAGUCUAUGGCUAGUUGGAAAUGUAGCGUAUAGGUGUGGCCUAUAUUAAAAGUCGUUGACGACGCAAAACCCAAAGUCUACCUUGAACGGGGCCAAGAUCCAUAGAAGGUGUUAGACCUGUACGGGUUGCGUUCGUCGACGAUCGGUCAUACUUUAGAGUCGGGUUGCCUGAGAUCGCAGCCCAAAUCGGGUGGUAGACUUCAUCUAAGGCUAAAUAUGGCCACGAGACCGAUAGCAAACAAGUACCGUGAGGGAAAGUUGCAAAGAACUUUGAAGAGAGAGUUCAAGAGGGCGUGAAACCGCUGAGAAUGAAGCGGAUAGAGUCGACGAAACUUAAUCAGUAUUCAGCCGACACGCUCGAGCGGUACCGUAUACGUGCGUUACACCCGGCCGUCAAAAGUUGCGCGUGUUUCGUUUUACGUAUACGCUAUUAUGGCUACUGCUUGGCGCUAAUUUCGGUGCAUUUACUGGUUGUAUGCGUUGAGAGCUUCGUAAUUCGCGCACGAAGACGCUCAACAUGCAGAGGCUUGUCGUGUGAAAUACCUCGGCGAGAGACCUAAUGUGAGCGAUUUAUCUCCGGCGUGUCGCUUAUGAAGUUUGCGUUUUUCUUUCUUUCGCGCACAACUGAACACACUCGAACCGUGUUCGCCACCUUCACGGGUGUUUGGACACGAUUCGAGCGUUCAACGCGCUCAUCGUUGACGAAUGGCGGUGCGCGAAAUAGAUAAUAUUUUGUGUUUAUCGCUUUUUUGUUAACGGUGCAAAAUGGCGCUAAAAAAUUUGAGUUGUGUGUCUCGACGUGAACGUCGAUCACCUAUCCGACCCGUCUUGAAACACGGACCAAGGAGUCUAGCGUAUACGCGAGUCAUUGGGUGUGCGAAUGCCUAAAGGCGUAAUGAAAGUGAAUGUCGCGAUUAGCGCGACUGUUAUGCGAUUUGCAAUGUGUUUUCUUAAUUUCACAUUCUUAAUUCAUUGCAAAGCAGCAUAGUCCCGUCUACGUUACACUGUAAUGAGGCGGAGAAUGAGCGUAUGCGCUGGGACCCGAAAGAUGGUGAACUAUGCCUGAGCAGGACGAAGCCAGAGGAAACUCUGGUGGAGGUCCGAAGCGGUUCUGACGUGCAAAUCGAUCGUCUGACUUGGGUAUAGGGGCGAAAGACUAAUCGAACCA
Molecule: ribosomal RNA, 1200 nt
Filed under: Procamallanus rebecae
Lineage: Eukaryota; Metazoa; Nematoda; Chromadorea; Rhabditida; Camallanidae
Description: partial large subunit ribosomal RNA
Rfam family: Eukaryotic large subunit ribosomal RNA
Source: RNAcentral